UUCGCAAUGCCCGAAAGGGUGAACGAGCGACGCCGCGUGCGGGAUGAAGGCCUUCGGGUUGUAAACCGCUUUUCUUAAGGAAGAACUUAAUGACGGUACUUAAGGAAUAAGAGGUUACUAACUCUGUGCCAGCAGUAGCGGUAAUACAGAGACCUCAAGCGUUAUCCGGAUUUAUUGGGCGUAAAGCGCGGGUAGGCGGGAAUAUUAGUCAGAUGUCAAAUCUUCGAGCUCAACUCGAAAACUGCAUUUGAAACGGUAUUCCUAGAGAGUGUGAGAGACCAGUGGAACUCAUGGUGUAGCAGUGAAAUGCGUUGAUAUCAUGGGGAACACUAAAGGCGAAGGCAUCUGGUUGGCGCACUUCUGACGCUGAGCCGCGAAAGCGUGGGUAGCGAAUGGGAUUAGAUACCCCAGUAGUCCACGCCGUAAACGAUGGGCACUAAGUAGAGGGGUUUU
Molecule: ribosomal RNA, 453 nt
Filed under: uncultured bacterium
Lineage: Bacteria
Description: bacterial SSU rRNA
Rfam family: Bacterial small subunit ribosomal RNA
Source: RNAcentral